CAAUCAUCAUUGGGCGACAUUCUCAUUGGAGAACUCGCACACACUCCAACCAGGAGCUAAUCAAGACCCCAAUCCAUAUCAAAUCCUUGGGUUGGGUCACUACACACUCGGUGUAUCAUCAAUUUCGCACUCUAACACGUGACAUCCCACGUACUCGGGUCUAGGCUCGGACUACCGUCCUGACCAAAACUCUCGCCCUACCAAUAGGUACCGGGCCGCUGUCUCUCACAGCUGACUGCGCCUGCCCAAUGGGUCCAGGCUCCACAGUCCACAAGUGGUCUAGGCACGGGUCGUCCCCAAGCACUACCCGCCAACGUCGUCCUACACGACAUGCUCUACAGAGCUACAAGUACCACUAUCUGCUCUUAAGCACCUUGUGUAAGCCACCAGCCCUACGAGUGAUCCAUGGCCCGCUUCACACUUAGCCCUGCUAAAGUGCUACUGCCAACUCACUCAAUCGGCUGAAUCGAAAUCGCAUCUCACGAGUAACUAUACUCGAGCGCUCUACGCCUCUACCGCGUCUAACAUGAAAUCCAGCAUCCGGCAGCUUGCCUAUGCACGUCCACUACACGAGCAUAACUCGUCUACCUCAACUUCGAGGUAUUACUAGGCCAACGGGCCCGCGUCCGUCAACUACACGGCUACUCUCACCACAGCGAUUCUACUUUCACUGUCCGAUCUACCGGAACACAUUCUCAACUCCCGAGUCUUUCGGGUAUCCUCAACAUUAAGGCUCAACCUUCACAAUCUUUCAAUCCAUUAUUUCAGAGUCACUUACUAGACCAUGUUCUCCACGAAUCUCAUUCCUUACCGCAGAAUUAUCACUAGCC
This 830-nucleotide long non-coding RNA is filed under the name Ananas comosus (pineapple). RNAcentral describes it as "long non-coding RNA (ACOM_LNC036156)". The record is from RNAcentral. Lineage: Eukaryota; Viridiplantae; Streptophyta; Magnoliopsida; Poales; Bromeliaceae.